This 445-nucleotide ribosomal RNA is filed under the name uncultured bacterium. RNAcentral's name for it is "partial 16S ribosomal RNA". It matches the Rfam family "Bacterial small subunit ribosomal RNA", at positions 331 to 793 of the family's 1533-position model. The record is from RNAcentral.
CCAGACUCCUACGGGAGGCAGCAGUGGGGAAUAUUGCACAAUGGGGGAAACCCUGAUGCAGCGACGCCGCGUGAGUGAAGAAGUAUUUCGGUAUGUAAAGCUCUAUCAGCAGGGAAGAAAAUGACGGUACCUGACUAAGAAGCCCCGGCUAACUACGUGCCAGCAGCCGCGGUAAUACGUAGGGGGCAAGCGUUAUCCGGAUUUACUGGGUGUAAAGGGAGCGUAGACGGCAUGGCAAGUCAGAUGUGAAAGCCCGGGGCUCAACCCCGGGACUGCAUUUGAAACUGUCAGGCUGGAGUGCAGGAGAGGUAGGUGGAAUUCCUAGUGUAGCGGUGAAAUGCGUAGAUAUUAGGAGGAACACCGGCGGCGAAGGCGGCCUGCUGGACCGUAACUGACGUUGAGGCUCGAAAGCGUGGGGAGCAAACAGGAUUAGAUACCCUCGUAU